Micropterus dolomieu (smallmouth bass) is the source of this 714-nucleotide long non-coding RNA. RefSeq lists it as uncharacterized. NCBI's taxonomy places the organism in Eukaryota, Metazoa, Chordata, Actinopteri, Centrarchiformes, Centrarchidae. The transcript is spliced from 4 exons. The record is from RefSeq and is a predicted model, not a curated record.
UGUUGCUACAUGAACCCUCUGUGAUGUCUGGGUAGCAGUCUACUGCCUGCCUGUUAUGUAGUUUGGCUCAUUCCAAGGUUCCCUGUCUGGAGUGGUGUGAUGUAGUGUUCCUCACAGAGCACCCUGUGUUAAGGUGGUCAGCUGCUGUCUUGCCUCUGUAAAAUUAGGAUUUUAACAAUUGCUGCUGGUACACUCUGGCUGUAGUGCCUCCAACCAGCACUCCCCUGCUAUGAGGCAUUGCGGUAAUGGCGCCAGGGAUGAGAUGAUCACCAGCAGGCUCAAGUCCCUGUUCUUGGGCCUUUGAAGGCCCAUGGUCACUCCAGAGAGGACAAGUACACUUGAAGCACCAGUGUUGUGUUCCAUAAUACUUCUACAGCGAGAGAAGACAUGCUGCCAUGACAAAUCCCAAAGAUCAAAUUAUAGGACCUGUCAAAACAUUUCUCCUUAACUCGGCAAGCAAAUAAACAUUCUUUGGAUGUUUAUUUAACCACUUCCUUACUAUAUUUAAAUUCUCAAGCGCUCUGGCUGUGGAUUGUUCCUAAUGUAAUGUUGUUUAGCAACGCUAGCUAACUUACUACUGAAUGUAAUGUUAAUAUAACCCUGUUUUGCUUUUUAAUUGUUCUAGUGAAUAGAGACCUACCCAGCUGUAAAGGAACAGUAUUGAUCCUUAAAAUUAAUCUGUAGUCUUUUGUCUUUAUAUUUCACGUCAGUGAA